This 2660-nucleotide long non-coding RNA is filed under the name Sus scrofa (pig). RNAcentral describes it as "lncRNA (ENSSSCG00035074492.1)". The record is from RNAcentral. Lineage: Eukaryota; Metazoa; Chordata; Mammalia; Artiodactyla; Suidae.
ACAUGGUUUUAAAUUCUUCAGUUUUUGGCUCUAGCUUAUCAAUACAGCAUACCUCUCUCAUAGAUAUUUUUAUGUUGUCUCAUUUGCUCUUUGUGGCAUCUUGUGGUAAACAAUGAAUAAAUUCAUGUUAGAACUUAUUUUGGAGUAAUAAUGGGAAAGGGGAUAAUACAUUUAUUACUAUUAUUGCCAUUGGAAUGAACAAUCCAGAAGAUGUAAGGUGAUAUUUAAAAAUACUAGUUUUCAAGAAAAGUAGACAAAUAUUUGAAUAGUUUUUUUUCACUGUAGGUGGCUAACAUUGCAUUCGCCUGGAUAAUGAUAGAGCAGUUGUUCUGAAUAAGCUUACACUUUGUUCAAAAUAAUAUAAUAUGCUUUAAUAAAGUCUUUUAGGAGAAUCUAUAUUGUUACUGCUACUGUAUUAUGGUGUGCUUCUGUUCAUUCUUAUUAUAGAUGCGGUAACUGAGGGUUAAAUGAUUUUACCCAGAGGGAGCCAUAGAGUGUUGAGUUUGUGACAUAUAGGUGGUAUUCAAUGACUAUUAAGUAUUAUUAUUGUCAUUAUUAUAAUAAGUAAUGUAACAUAUCCAGUGCUUGGCAAAGAUGGGCUACAAACCCCAGUCUGUCUGAUAUUCUGAGUCCAGUAGUGGCAUAAAAUAAUGCUGCACCCUAAUACUGUAUAGUGAAUAAGUAUAUGUAUAUUUAUUUUAUUAUGUAUGUUUGUAUAGAGUCAUUUAAUUUUCAGUUUUACAUUUUGUUUAUAAAAUUUUCUUGUUUCUGUUCAUAGAAAUUUUUUUUAAGUGUCUCUUUCUUACUCCCUGAUUUCAUGGAAUUAUGCAUUGUCAGAGAGGAAUGUGCCUUUCUAAAAAAUUGAAGUAUGGCUAUUUACAAUAUUAUAUUAGUUUCAGGUGUACAGCAUAGUUAGUCAAUAUUUUCAUACAAGAAUGUGCCUUUUCUGUUUUUAUUUUUAUUUUUUUAUGGCUGCACCCACAGCUUAUGGAGGCCUCUGGGACAGAGAUUGAGUCCAAGCUGCACCUGUGAUCUGCACUGCAGCUACAGCAACGUUGGAUCCUUUUACCCACUGUGCCAGUAUAGCCCAGCAUGGAGUGGUGGAAGGUGCUCUGGAUUAAAUCUCAGUAUAAUGAGAAGAGAGAAGACUCUGGAGACAAACUAUGUUUGAGACCUAGCUCUACCACUUCCUGGCUGUGUCGAGUUGGGUGAGUCUCAAACCUCUCUGAGCCUCUGUUUUCUCUUCUGAAAAAUGGGAUAAUAAUAGAACAUAUUGUGAGGAUUAAAUGAAAUAUUUUGUGUGAAAUUCUCCGCAAGGUGUCAGAACAUAAUAAGCUCUCAACGAAUGUUAGCUAUGGAGCAAAUAAAUCCUAGCUCUGUUAGAAUGUUGCUGAGGUAAUUGAAGAAAUUAACUUCUUCUCUCUGGAGUUCAGAUUUUUCAGAUGCAAAUAAGAUGAUUAAAAUGAAGACGCUUCCUGCUUGAAUAUUUUACGAUUUCAGCCUUGCCCUGUCCCCCAUCAGUAAUAAUCUCUCCCUCACUAACUUCUCGUAGCCCUGCAUUUGGGCAUCUGUUACAACGCAUCUUCCUCUCUUUGUUUAUAAUUAUUUUUAUGUGUGCCUACUUGAGAGCAUGUUUAUUCCAGUGACUUGCUCAUAGUGAAUGCUCAGCACAUGUUUUUUGAGUGGAUGGACAAAUACUAAUCUUUUUGGUCCUAUUGCUUUUCAUAGUGAAUAGUCUCAUAUGUUGUGCCUUUUUUAGCCUUUUUAUCAUGGAACAUUUGAAUAUAUACAUAAGAAGAAAGACUAACAAAACGGAUUGCCAUUGACCAGCCACCCAGCAACAUUAAUGACCCACUCAUGACUAAUCAUGUUUGAUCUAGUCCUCAUAAUCCUCCUCCUCCCUCCGGAUUUUUGGAAGCAAAUUUCAUACAUUAUAUAAAGUUACCUUUAAAAAUUUCAGAGUAUGUCUCUAAAAGAAAAGGGAUAUUUUUAGCAUAACUACUACGCCAUUUUCAUACCUAAAAAAUUAACAGUAAUUCCUUGAUAUCAUCAUAUAUUCAGUCAGUGUUCACAUUUCCCUGAUUUUCCUGCAUGUGUGUGUAAUUUAUUUAUUUAUUUAUAAUUUUUCUGCCUCAAGUCCCAAUGAGGUACAUUCAUUGCAUUUUGUUAGUCUCUCUUGAAUUGUCUGUUUCUCUCUUCAGUUUUGUUAGUUUUUUUCUUCAGGUAUCUUGAGGUUCUACUGAUACGUAUACACAUUUUUUAAAUUAUUAUAUGUUUUUCCUUGAUUGACUUAGAAAUUAUAAACUGUCCUUUAUGUCCAGUAACAGUUUUGGCCUUAAGGCCUACUUUGUCUGUUAUUAGUAUGACCAUUCCAGCUCUUGUUUGGUUACAGUUUGCUUAGCAUAUUUUUUCCAUUCUUUUUAUUUUCAGCUCAUUUGCAUUUUUGAAUCUGAAGUGUGUCUCUUAUAGACAGUGUAUAGUUGAAUCAUUUUAAGGAAUCUGUUUUGGAAUUCCCUGAUGGCCUGGAAGUUAAGGACUUAGUGUUGUCACUGCUGUGGUUUGGGUUAGAGGGUUACUGUUAUAGUUUAGGCUCAAUCCCUGGCCUGGGAACUACUGUAUGCUGCAGAAUGGCCAAAAAAAAAAAAAAAAAAAAAAAAAAA